Molecule: ribosomal RNA, 253 nt
Filed under: uncultured bacterium
Lineage: Bacteria
Description: partial 16S ribosomal RNA
Rfam family: Bacterial small subunit ribosomal RNA
Source: RNAcentral
UACGUAGGGAGCAAGCGUUGUCCGGAAUCAUUGGGCGUAAAGCGCGCGUAGGCGGCUCGAUCAGUCUGCUGUGAAAGUCAAAGGCUCAACCUUUGAAAGCCGGUGGAUACUGUCGAGCUAGAGUCCGGAAGAGGCGAGUGGAAUUCCUGGUGUAGCGGUGGAAUGCGCAGAUAUCAGGAGGAACACCAACGGCGAAGGCAGCUCGCUGGGACGGUACUGACGCUAAGGCGCGAAAGCGUGGGGAGCGAACAGG